GAGAGCUCUUACGUAAAUUGGUCUGCUAUUUCCCAAAUAAGAGAGAAUGCGAGUUUUCAUUGAGAGGCUGAAACAGCUGAACUGAUACUUUUAAAUUUGCUCAGUUUUGUAUGUGUGUAUGCUGGUGGGUGGGGAUGAUACUUUGGAAAUGCUAACAUAUUUUCUUUCUUAUAUUUCCUCUUAUACCUGUCUCUUCUACCACAUUUGACAAACUAAACUAGUCUGUGUUCACUGGACUAGAUGAAGAAAAUUCCUACACAGAAAAGAGAAAAGGGAGUUGCUUUCCUGGUUUUUGAGUUUCAAAAGCAGAGACUCUGAGAAGAUUCCCAGAAUGCUCAACAAAGAGUGCUUAAGAAUUCUCUCACUAGGGAUAGGAGCUAGAGAAGCAGCACCAAUGAGUCCGUAAGGAAGAAGCUGUGUGUGCCCUGCUUUCUGGACCACUGGAAAACUCAGAUGGACUUGUUGAAUCUGAAAACAGAGGGUCUCUGAGUCCUCUCCUAGCUAGAGCCCUCGUUAAGUGAUAGACACUAGAAGAAGAGUGACUGUGUGAUGCCUAGGCAGACUGGACUUCAGAAAUGCAGGAUUCCCCUCAGUUCUAAUGUGGCAUGGGAGUUGCACAGUGUUUCCUGGGUGUCCAGGAGUGGCCUAGAAACAGCAGUAAAAGAGAGCUACUCAAAGUCUGGUGGAAUAGAAGAAAAGACAUGGCAGCUACUAGAAUGAAUAUAUCUGUGGGUAACAGUAUGGAAAAAUGACAGUGGGUAUCAGCAUGGUAAAGUGAAAGGUUACUCUGAGGUCUUGGUGCCACCCUACGCCUUUAUACUGUGUAAAGCCCAGACCUUAUAUAUAAUAGACCCACCUUAGAAAAGGGGCUGAAUCCCACACUGCCAAUCUGGUGAAGAGCAGCUCAGUUCAGUUACAGGGGAAUAAAAAAGAGAUUGUUCCUGCAGGUCUGAGUAUGAAGAUAGAGAUUAGGACCUGCUGCUGAUUCAUUCAUUUAUUCACUCAUUUGACAAUAAUUUAUUGAGUGCCUGUGAAGUGGCUGGCACUGCUUAGGCAUUUAGGAAACUGCGAUAAAUGAGACACAAAAUUUCUGCCCUGGUGUAGCUUAUGUACUAGAUAGGGAGACAGAAAAUGUGUAGAAAACACAAAUAUCAUCGUGCUAUUGAGUCAAGUAGUGAUAAGGACUAGACAGAAAAAUAAAGCAGGGUCAGGAAUGUUAGCCUACUAGAAAAUGAAUAUAAAGAUAUUAAUGAUGAAUCUGAAUAGAACCCCUUAUUCUCAUUACCGAUCUUGUUGUGUGUUGUAUUGAUCCUGUGUUACUGAUCAGAGCACACAAUCAUUGACCACUUUCAAGGUGAGGGAUGCAAGAAAUGCUGAUGAAGUAGGUAAAUUGUCUAUCAUGCUUUUUAAAGAUCAGGGCUAAAGCUGAAGCUCUGUACCAGAUUUUGACUAAAGCCCAGGCCUGGAGAUGAACUUCAGUGCAAGCCUCAUAUAUGAUCUCUUUUAACUCUUUCAUACACCCCACUAGAUAGGUAUCUGUGCUCAGUUUUAUAGAUGACAGCAUGGGUCCUUAGAGAAUGUGAUUAACUGGACCAAGGUUAUACCAGGAUUCAAACUUAGGAUUAUGAGGCUCCCACUCUGCAAUAGACUGGGUUAAGCACCCUAGUGGUCUUUGUGGGCUGCACCUCUGGACUCUCUUGUUUUGCAGACAGUUUAAAGAUUUCAAACAGAAUGAAGAGCCUGAGAAAUCUUCUGCAGCUGUAGAAGACCUUCUUUUGGUCAGGCCUUUGGCUAACCAGGGGCACCAUUUGCUACUGUCCACGAGUCCACGUAUACUCUUGCAUUGAGCCACUUCACUUUUGACACAGAUUGGAUGGCCUGGUUGGUAUCCCACUACAAAGCAAGGGCCUGCCACAACCAGAUGCAUGUUUCAACGACAUCGAAAGACUCACCUUGGACUCAUCGCUGACUUGUCAACCAGAACUCCAAUAUCUGAGUUUGUCAAGAUCUCAAAGGACGUGGAGUGCAUUUGUAUUAUCAUAUAAAGCACGUGAAAUUAUGGUUUUCUCUGUGAAUUUUUCUAAAAGCAUACUUUGAAUUCUAUUGUUGGUAUUUCCAGUGAGAAGCAUAGAGCACAUGGUAGGUGCUUAAUAAAUGUUUGAUGAAUACAUAAAUGAAUAAAUACCUGUAAAACAUUUAAUGGCACAGCAGCUGUUUCUUCUGUCACUUCUCAUGCGUCUCAGUGGAAUUCUUUUUUGCAUUUGAACACUAUUCCCACUGAGAAGUAAACAACCUCCUUUUUGCCUUUUCCCUUAGGAGAUUCCAAGGGUGUCAUAAGUUACAUGGUGCUUCUUAUGGCAUGCAAAUAACUCUUUAUCCAUGGUCCUUUCUGCUUCUUUAUUUUAGCAAAGAAAUCUGCUUUGUAUUAGAAUUCUCCUCUGAUUGGGAACCCACAUCAAAAAGACUUUAAUUCCUGAUAGUGAUUAUGAAAAAUUUCACUGAAAGAUUUACUUUAUGCUGGCUACUGUGCUAGGAAUUUUCCGUACAUUUUCUCAUUUAAUCCUUAGACUAAUCUCCAUUUUAAAAAGCAUUAUUUUUCAUUUUUAAAAUGUAGAUGCUGAGGCUUAGAAGUUGAGUAACUUGCCCAAGACCAUCUCACUAAUAAGUGGAAAAGUCAGAAUUCGAAAACAGAUUCAUCUGAAUUAAAAAGAAAGAAAGAAAGAAAGAAAGAAAGAAAGAAAGAAAGAAAGAAAGAAAAAAGAAAAAUCCACCCAAGGAGGAGCUAUGAAGUGCACUGUAUUUCAGCAGCUUUCUUUCUGACUGCAGUGUGGGGAUGGUUCUCUGGUCCCUGGUUUCCAGGCCCACUGGAAAGGCAGGUGUGAGCACAUGGCCAUAAUUCCUGUGCAAGAUGCUGUCAUUUCAGCUGGGGUAUGUUGAUGUGAUGAUGAGGACAAAGAGAAGCAGGGAGACUGUGAACAUAUUUAGAAUAUAAAAUUUGAGGAAUUUUGGGAUAGAUUAGAUGGAGGACGUUAGGCAAGGGAAGACUCGCUGGCAACUUUCUAGUACCUGGUUGGUUGCCUGGGUAUAUCGGGGCAUCAUUCACUAAAUAGGAAAUUCUAGAAAGGGAACAGGAAUUGGCAAAAAGAUAAUGAGUUCAGUUAGGGGGAUAUACUUAAGAGUGUCUAAGUAGAACUUCUAGUAGACAUUUGUAUACAUGAGCCUGAAAUUCAGAGGGAAUGACUUAAAUCUUCUAUUUUUGUGCUGUAUGAUUAUUUGACUUAAAAUUCUUUUUAGUUAGUAAAAGUUUUUCACUUAAUAAUUAGAGGAAAUCAAGGGAGUGUCUAUUAGUGAAUCAGAGCCUCUUAGAGAAACCUGUUCCAUAUUAUCCUGUUAAAUGCUUGGGUGAGGUUUUCCUCUUUAUUGCAUUUUUCCAUUGCUAAAAUCAUUCUGCAUCAUUAACUUUAUUGUAUUGCAUGUUGCUUAUUGUCUGGAAACAAAUAGCUGAUUGUGUCACCUCUAGUUCUGUAAUGUCAAACUUACCUUGGUUGUGAGAUGAACGAUCCACCUCCAUCAAUUAUUGCCAAUUGUCUCUUUGAAAAUAUAUGCCAUAGUACCUAUUUUUCUUCUACAUCAUCUUCUAAUUUCAAAGAAUUAUAAUUUUUUCCUUUAAUUAAACAUUUGGCCCUUCAAUAUUGCCUUGUUUAUAAUCCUGGGCCCAAAUGAAAAUACCAUGAUUAAAUAAAUCUUAGGAGUCCCAGCUGAGAUUAUCUCAACAAGGAAACUGUAAAAUGCUCUAAGACAAAAAGAAAUAGAGGAUGGUAAUGAGAGAUAAAAAGCAUUAUCUCACUGAACAAAGGAAAGAAGACAUGAAAGCCAAAAUGGGCUGACUACAGAUCUUCUGACCUUAAGCUGAGUGUUUGGUGUGGCUUCCUUCAUGGAAUGGAUGGUUGCAAUGAAUUUUGGUCUCCCAGCAUUUGAGCAUUCUUCAUAUGUUUGUGAGUCCCCCACCCUCCAUUACAUUAUAAAGAGCUGGCUCCUACUAGAGAAGCUGAAAACAUCACAAUUGUUCGCCUAGACCCUGGGAGCUUAGGAGUGGGCACGUGACCCAGACCUUGGCAAUGAGGGAUAGCCACUCCAUGCUCAAAGCUGGAUGCUGAUAACAUGGAAAAGGAAGGACCGCAUGGACUCUGUUCUGGAGAGAAUGGCAGCAGCAACACUGAGUUUUCUGAGGCAGUAGAAAGUGGCUCUGGGGACCGAAUAUGUGCCUACUGCCCAUGAGUUGGAAGUACACAUUGUGGACUUUGUGUCCAGCUCUUGCGCAGUUGUGUCUUCAUCAGACCAGCUCUGCUGUAUGUGAUUUUGGACACUGCUUUUGUUUGCCAAGCUUCCAUACCUGGCCCUUCUAGAGCUUUUGUAAGAUACCCAAUACCCUUUUAUUAAAACUAUUCUCUGCUCACAUUAGCUAGAGAUGUUGUCUUUUGCUUGCAACUGAGUGAUUCAUCCUAAUUCCAUGUGAUACACUAAAUUUUAAGGAUCUCAAAUCUCUGUCCUCCUGUAGCUCCU
This 4563-nucleotide long non-coding RNA is filed under the name Homo sapiens (human). Its description in RNAcentral is "HSALNT0009159". The record is from RNAcentral. Lineage: Eukaryota; Metazoa; Chordata; Mammalia; Primates; Hominidae.